This 890-nucleotide ribosomal RNA is filed under the name uncultured bacterium. RNAcentral's name for it is "bacterial SSU rRNA". It matches the Rfam family "Bacterial small subunit ribosomal RNA", at positions 52 to 982 of the family's 1533-position model. The record is from RNAcentral.
UACAUGCAGUCGAACGGAGGCCCUAGCUUGCUAGGUAUCCUUAGUGGCGCACGGGUGAGUAACACGUGGGAACAUACCUUAUAGUACGGAAUAACUGCGGGAAACUGUAGCUAAUACCGUAUACUCCAGUAAUGGGAAAGAUUUAUCGCUAUAAGAUUGGCCCGCGCAAGAUUAGCUUGUUGGUGAGGUAAAAGCUCACCAAGGCUUCGAUCUUUAGCUGGUUUGAGAGGACGAUCAGCCACACUGGGACUGAGACACGGCCCAGACUCCUACGGGAGGCAGCAGUAGGGAAUAUUGGACAAUGGGGGCAACCCUGAUCCAGCAAUGCAGCGUGAGUGACGAAGGCCUUAGGGUUGUAAAACUCUUUCAUCGGUGAGGAUAAUGACAGUAGCCGAAGAAGAAGGACCGGCUAAUUCCGUGCCAGCAGCCGCGGUAAUACGGAAGGUCCUAGCGUUGUUCGGAAUUACUGGGCGUAAAGCGCAUGUAGGCGGAACAGAAAGUUAGAAGUGAAAUCCCUGGGCUCAACCUAGGAAUUGCUUUUAAAACUUCUGUUCUGGAAUUCAGGAGAGGAAAAUGGAAUUUCCAGUGUAGAGGUGAAAUUCGUAGAUAUUGGAAGGAACACCAGUGGCGAAGGCGAUUUUCUGGACUGAUAUUGACGCUGAGAUGCGAAGGCAUGGGUAGCAAACGGGAUUAGAUACCCCGGUAGUCCAUGCAGUAAACGAUGGGUGCUAGUCGUCGGACUUUUGUUCGGUGUCGUAGCUAACGCGUUAAGCACCCCGCCUGGGGAGUACGGUCGCAAGAUUAAAACUCAAAUAAAUUGACGGGGACCCGCACAAGCAGUGGAGCAUGUGGUUUAAUUCGACGCAACGCGAAGAACCUUACCAGCGUUU